GGAACACCUUCUCAGAUGAUACAAAUUGACCUAGCUCAAGUUUGCACUGUAACAGCAAAAAGGAGUGAGGGGGAGGGAGAGGGAAGAAAAAGAAGCUGAUAGGGCUAGCAGGAAUGUCAGAUGAAAGGCAGAGACUGCUGUUGGUUUUGGUUUUCAUGGCAAAAAUUCAUCUGCCAUCAAACUCUGGCAUUGGAAUCUGUUGUGAAAACAUCAGCCUUGUCUGCAUUACAAGUUUGAAUUAACAAGCUUAAGUUUCGAGGCAAUACUUCUUAUUGUCACUAAAGCAAUUGCAAGCUACAUAAUUGUGAUUGAUAUCUCUGAUUUCACUCUUGACAAAGCAAAUCUAAAGGUACAGAAGAAGAUACAGAAAAUCACAGAUGCACAAAAUUGCAGGGAUUGGAAGAGACCUCAAGAGAUCAUCAAGUCCAACCCCCCUGCUGUAGCAGGUACCCUACAAUAGGUCACAAUGGUAAGUGUCCAGACAGAUCUUGAAUAACUCCAUAGAAGACAUUACAACCUCUCUGGGCAACCUAUUCCAAUCCUCUGUCAUCUUUACUAUAAAGAAAAAUCCAUCAGAAAGUGCGUAAAUGCUGAUUAGCAUGAUUAUUUCAAGUCAGGUUCAGAAGUAGAUUAUUUUAAUUGUAU
RNAcentral lists this long non-coding RNA (645 nucleotides) under Numida meleagris (helmeted guineafowl). RNAcentral's name for it is "lncRNA (ENSNMEG00000001659.1)". The record is from RNAcentral. Lineage: Eukaryota; Metazoa; Chordata; Aves; Galliformes; Numididae.